AUUCCAUGAUGAGGACAGGCCCAGAUGUACUCCUGGAGCCUUUCCCAUGCUUCGGGGAUGGACUCUAGUGAAGACUGCUAGAAGUUGGAGAUCUUCCCCCUUAGAGC
Molecule: small nucleolar RNA, 107 nt
Filed under: Sorghum bicolor (sorghum)
Lineage: Eukaryota; Viridiplantae; Streptophyta; Magnoliopsida; Poales; Poaceae
Description: Plant small nucleolar RNA R71
Rfam family: Plant small nucleolar RNA R71
About the family: R71 is a member of the C/D box family of snoRNAs containing the C (UGAUGA) and D (CUGA) box motifs.
Source: Rfam by way of RNAcentral